GCUGGGUGUGGCAGCUCACACCUGUAAUCUCAGCACUUUGGGAGGCUGAGGCGGGUGGAUCACCUGAGGUCAGGAGUUCGUGACCAGCCUGGCCAACAUGGUGAAACCCCGUCUCUA
RNAcentral lists this non-coding RNA (117 nucleotides) under Homo sapiens (human). Lineage: Eukaryota; Metazoa; Chordata; Mammalia; Primates; Hominidae. The record is from Rfam by way of RNAcentral.